UUUCUUGCUUCAUUUUCUCAUACUUUCUUGCAUUUUCUCUUCCUGUAAAGAAAAGAAAGGUUCUCGAGACAAAGAAAUACAUAACCAUCUGCUUUCUUUCUUUGUCUUUCUCUCUUUUUUCUUCAUUCUGUGUGCUUUCUCUCUCUAGAUAAAGAAGCAUAGAAUAAAGUGUGCUUAGAGAGAGAAUAAGGGAAGGGGAAAAAAGGCCAUUGUUUUGGGAGGUCAUCGUUCUUGAGGUCAUGAAGAAGCUUGCAAUGUGCAAUAAUGUGUUAGUGGUUUUUUGGUUGUUGGGUUUAUGGGUUUGCUCUGUUAGUGCCUCUGUGUCUUAUGACUCUAAGGCUAUCACCAUUAAUGGCCAGAGAAGGAUCCUCAUUUCUGGAUCCAUUCACUACCCAAGAAGCUCCCCUGAGAUGUGGCCAGAUCUUAUACAAAAGGCAAAGGAAGGAGGAUUGGAUGUGAUUCAGACUUAUGUUUUUUGGAAUGGCCAUGAACCUUCGCCUGGAAAAUAUUAUUUCGAGGGGAACUAUGAUUUGAUCAAGUUUGUCAAGCUGGUGAAGCAAGCAGGUCUUUAUCUUCAUCUCAGGAUUGGACCUUAUGUCUGUGCUGAAUGGAACUUUGGGGGUCUCCCUGUUUGGCUCAAGUACAUUCCAGGCAUCAAUUUCAGAACAGAUAAUGGCCCUUUCAAGGCUCAAAUGCAAAAAUUCACUACAAAGAUUGUCAACAUGAUGAAAGCAGAA
This 737-nucleotide unclassified non-coding RNA is filed under the name Hevea brasiliensis (rubber tree). The record is from RNAcentral. Lineage: Eukaryota; Viridiplantae; Streptophyta; Magnoliopsida; Malpighiales; Euphorbiaceae.